AUUGAACGCUGGCGGCAUGCUUUACACAUGCAAGUCGAACGGCAGCGCGGGCUUCGGCCUGGCGGCGAGUGGCGAACGGGUGAGUAAUGCAUCGGAACGUGCCCAGUAGUGGGGGAUAGCCCGGCGAAAGCCGGAUUAAUACCGCAUACGACCUGAGGGUGAAAGCGGGGGACCGAAAGGCCUCGCGCUAUUGGAGCGGCCGAUGUCGGAUUAGCUAGUUGGUGGGGUAAAGGCUUACCAAGGCGACGAUCCGUAGCUGGUCUGAGAGGACGACCAGCCACCCCUGGACUGGGACCCCGCCCCAGCUUCCUCCGGGGGGCACCGGGGGGAAUUUUUGACCAUGGGGGGCAACCCGGUCCCAGCAUGCCGCGUGCGGGAAGAAGGCCUUCGGGUUGUAAACCGCUUUUGUUCGGGAAGAAAUCCUCUGGGCUAAUACCCCGGGGGGAUGACGGUACCGGAAGAAUAAGCACCGGCUAACUACGUG
RNAcentral lists this ribosomal RNA (484 nucleotides) under uncultured bacterium. RNAcentral describes it as "partial 16S ribosomal RNA". It matches the Rfam family "Bacterial small subunit ribosomal RNA", at positions 28 to 507 of the family's 1533-position model. The record is from RNAcentral.